Molecule: non-coding RNA, 148 nt
Filed under: Pongo abelii (Sumatran orangutan)
Lineage: Eukaryota; Metazoa; Chordata; Mammalia; Primates; Hominidae
Source: Rfam by way of RNAcentral
GCUGGGUGUGGUGGUGGGCACCUGUAAUCCCAGCUACUCAGGAGGCUGAGGCAGGAGAAUCACUUGAACCCGGGAGGCAGAGGUUUCAGUGAGCCGAGAUCACACCACUGUACUCCAGCCUGGGUGAUAGAGUGAGACUCUGUCUCAA